CGCCGAAGGUUCCCCUGGACGAGACGGUUCUCCUGGUGCCAAGGGUGACCGUGGUGAGACCGGCCCCGCUGGACCCCCUGGUGCUCCUGGUGCUCCUGGUGCCCCUGGCCCCGUUGGCCCUGCUGGCAAGAGUGGUGAUCGUGGUGAGACUGUAAGUAGCUGGGCUCCAGUUCUCUGUGUCUGGUCAGGCCAGGGACUCUCCAGGCCUCCUCAGAGGCCUGGGGAUGGGUGUCGGACUUCACCCAGGCAGGAGGAGGAAAGGAGAUCCUGCAAGAUGUCCGGGCCUUAAUCCAAAAAACUGAGUUAAAGCUCAGCCCCAAGUCCCCUCUCCCAGACAGGACCCCCUCUCCCGUGAGUUGGCCCCAGCUCCCGUGAAGAUUGCAGUGGGGAGGUUUCCCUGGGAGUUGGGAGAGAUGGCCACAGUGGGAAGCAGCUGAGGAGAGAGAGAUCUAGCUGAGGGGAGGCCUCAUCCUGCAGCCCCAGCCUCAGCCUCCCCUGGCCAAGAGCUCAUGCUUUCCUUGCUCUCCGCAGGGUCCUGCUGGUCCUGCCGGUCCUGUCGGCCCUGUUGGCGCCCGUGGCCCCGCUGUAAGUACCCUGCUGUGUCCGCAUGCCUUCAGAACUCUACAGAUGCGGACAGUGCCCCACUUGAUGCCAGUGGAACUUCUGCCUGACAGUUUGUCCCUUUCUCUCUUCUAGGGACCCCAAGGCCCCCGUGGUGACAAGGGUGAGACAGGCGAACAGGGCGACAGAGGCAUAAAGGGUCACCGUGGCUUCUCUGGCCUCCAGGG
This 788-nucleotide small RNA is filed under the name Pongo abelii (Sumatran orangutan). Its description in RNAcentral is "retained intron". Lineage: Eukaryota; Metazoa; Chordata; Mammalia; Primates; Hominidae. The record is from RNAcentral.